Molecule: long non-coding RNA, 1151 nt
Filed under: Sparus aurata (gilthead seabream)
Lineage: Eukaryota; Metazoa; Chordata; Actinopteri; Spariformes; Sparidae
Description: lncRNA (ENSSAUG00010016469.1)
Source: RNAcentral
UCUGUCCACUCCACCGGUUGUUGCACAAAUUGGAUCAAUGGACUUUUAGUUGUACAGUGUUUGUGUGCUAUCGUACUAUUUCAUUUACUGUUAGAGUUAUUGUGUUUGAUUAUGUUAAGAUUAAGCCAGUAGUCAUUCUGUAUAUUUACAUGUAUAUUUUGCAGGGUCCACCAACAGCUCAUGGGUCACACUCCAUCACACUCCCCUAAACGCCACCAGGUCCUUCCAGGUGGAGUUUGAGGUCCGUAAAGCAGGUUACAGAUGGUUUCAGUCGAGGACACCUGAAACCGGUCUGAAACUGCUCAUCCACAUCAUGUCUGGCAUGUCCUCAAAAUGGUCGACUCUCUACAAAUAAAAGUGUUGGUACAAGCUAAGCCCUCGCCCACUGGUCCGAGCUUUGGCUACAGCACUUUCUUGUCUGUUGAUGCAGUGUGAUCUCUUUCCUCAGCACGAUUUAUCAAGUCUUUGAACGGACAGCUCAGGCCUUCCUAAGCCUCAGGUGUGGUCCAACAUGAGCAGUGUGACCUUGAUGCAGACAGAUGAUAGAAACCUGCUGGAGCCAGCCAUGAGAGAUGCAGCUAACAGGAAGAACAAAGAUAAAUCAGUGUGUUGAAAUGCAGUCGUUUACUGCGCCCAGCAAUGUGGAAAAACCUGUAUCACAAAACCACUAACAAAGUGUACCUUUUCUGAACACAUGGAAAGCACACCCACAAUCUCUCCAUCAUCACUGCAGUCGGUCUGCCCAAAGGAACCAUAUUUUCCACCCUGGGUGCCUCAGAUGUGUGGACACCUGCCCCCAAAACUCUCCAAAGUUGUGAGCUAAAGGUUCAAUCCUUCUGCUCUGAUUGUGAUUUCCUCCUUUACUGACUCUAACAGAAGCAUUUACUCCAUAGUAUCAGUCCAAAGCAUUAAAAUGUGCAUUUUGUGUCUCUUAAUGAUAAUUUCUUUUAAGUUGUUUGCCAGUAAUAGUCUUUAGUUUUGAUAUUUUUCCAUAUCCUUGCCAAUAAACAACUUCUAUGUUUACUUUUACAUUGAGAAUGUAUGAGAAGGGCUUUAAAUUACUAAAAUAAAGUUUUAAAAAAUGACUCAGGUUAUUUCAUCCCUAAUUUUCAUCCAUAACAACUAGCAUCGAUGUUGAAAUUCUCUCGAAA